This 475-nucleotide ribosomal RNA is filed under the name Eimeria alabamensis. RNAcentral describes it as "SSU rRNA". It matches the Rfam family "Eukaryotic small subunit ribosomal RNA", at positions 1328 to 1831 of the family's 1831-position model. Lineage: Eukaryota; Apicomplexa; Conoidasida; Eucoccidiorida; Eimeriidae. The record is from RNAcentral.
AUAACGAACGAGACCUUAGCCUGCUAAAUAGGAUCGGGAACCUCGGUUCUCGCAUCACUUCUUAGAGGGACUUUGCGUGUCUAACGCAAGGAAGUUUGAGGCAAUAACAGGUCUGUGAUGCCCUUAGAUGUUCUGGGCUGCACGCGCGCUACACUGAUGCAUGCAACGAGUUUUUGACCUUGGCCGGAAGGUCUAGGUAAUCUUUUGAGUAUGCAUCGUGAUGGGGAUAGAUUAUUGCAAUUAUUAAUCUUCAACGAGGAAUGCCUAGUAGGCGCAAGUCAGCAGCUUGUGCCGAUUACGUCCCUGCCCUUUGUACACACCGCCCGUCGCUGCAACCGAUCGAAGGGUCCUGUGAACUCGAUGGACAGCCCAUCCCCUUCUUGGGGUUGGGCUGGAAGUUGCGUAAAUAGAGCCCUUUAAAGGAUGCAAAAGUCGUAACACGGUUUCCGUAGGUGAACCUGCGGAAGGAUCAUUC